GAUGCCAGGGUGCAGAAAGUCAUACAUCCCAUGCUUGCAUGGGAAUGGAUGACUUUGGCGCCCGCGAAACAUGAGAAAGUAGCCAUUUUUCACAGAAAAAUGUGCGAAUUUCGAAUGUUUCCAGGAUUUCGGGAGUGCGCAGCACGGAGAAAUCCGCAGGCAUC
Molecule: small RNA, 164 nt
Filed under: Marvinbryantia formatexigens
Lineage: Bacteria; Bacillati; Bacillota; Clostridia; Lachnospirales; Lachnospiraceae
Description: Clostridiales-1 RNA
Rfam family: Clostridiales-1 RNA
Source: RNAcentral